This 388-nucleotide ribosomal RNA is filed under the name Gephyrocapsa cf. muellerae. RNAcentral's name for it is "partial small subunit ribosomal RNA". It matches the Rfam family "Eukaryotic small subunit ribosomal RNA", at positions 582 to 975 of the family's 1831-position model. Lineage: Eukaryota; Haptophyta; Isochrysidales; Noelaerhabdaceae. The record is from RNAcentral.
AUUCCAGCUCCAAUAGCGUAUAUUAAAGUUGUUGCAGUUAAAACGCUCGUAGUCGGAUUUCGGGGCGGGCCGACCGGUCUGCCGAUGGGUAUGCACUGGCCGGCGCGUCCUUCCACCCGGAGACCGCGCCUACUCUUAACUGAGCGGGCGCGGGAGACGGGUCUUUUACUUUGAAAAAAUCAGAGUGUUUCAAGCAGGCAGUCGCUCUUGCAUGGAUUAGCAUGGGAUAAUGAAAUAGGACUCUGGUGCUAUUUUGUUGGUUUCGAACACCGGAGUAAUGAUUAACAGGGACGGUUGGGGGUAUUCAUAUUUACAUGUCAGAGGUGAAAUUCUUGGAUUUUGGAAAGAUGAACUACUGCGAAGGCAUUUACCAAGGAUGUUUUCAUUA